GACGAACGCUGGCGGCGUGCCUAAUACAUGCAAGUAGAACGCUGAAGGAGGAGCUUGCUUCUCUGGAUGAGUUGCGAACGGGUGAGUAACGCGUAUGGAACCUGCCUGGUAGCGGGGGAGAACUAUUGGAAACGAUAGCUAAUACCGCAUAAGAGUAGAUGUUGCAUGACAUUUACUUAUAAGAUGCAAUUGUAUCACUACCAGAUGGACCUGCGUUGUAUUAGGUAGUUGGUGGUGUAACGGCUCACCAAGGCGACGAUACAUAGCCGACCUGAGAGGGUGAACGGCCACACUGGGACUGAGACAAGGCCCAGGCCCCUAAGGGAGGGAGCAGUAGGGGAUCUUCGGCAAAGGGGGGAAGUCUGACCGAGGAACGCCGCGUGAGGGAAGGAGGUUUUCGGAUCGUAAAGCUCUGUUGAAAGGGGAGAAAGAGUGUUGGAGUGGAAAGUUCACACUGUGACGGUAGCUAAUCAGAAAGGGACGGCUAACUACGUG
Molecule: ribosomal RNA, 495 nt
Filed under: uncultured bacterium
Lineage: Bacteria
Description: partial 16S ribosomal RNA
Rfam family: Bacterial small subunit ribosomal RNA
Source: RNAcentral